RNAcentral lists this transfer RNA (72 nucleotides) under Neotoma lepida (desert woodrat). It matches the Rfam family "tRNA". From Rfam's summary of the family: Transfer RNA (tRNA) molecules are approximately 80 nucleotides in length. Their secondary structure includes four short double-helical elements and three loops (D, anti-codon, and T loops). Lineage: Eukaryota; Metazoa; Chordata; Mammalia; Rodentia; Cricetidae. The record is from Rfam by way of RNAcentral.
GAGGGUAUAGCCCAGCUGGUGGAGUGCUUGCUUGGCAUGCAUGAAGCCCUGAGUUCCACCCUCAGUAUCUCA